This 605-nucleotide long non-coding RNA is filed under the name Vigna radiata. RNAcentral describes it as "long non-coding RNA (VRAD_LNC008901)". Lineage: Eukaryota; Viridiplantae; Streptophyta; Magnoliopsida; Fabales; Fabaceae. The record is from RNAcentral.
UGCAAAGUGUGGCACGGUAAGUGUUUGAUGGAUGCUUCAAUGAAGGUGUGAGGGUGAAUCAAGGAAUCUCAAGCUCCGAAAGCCUUCCAAGAGGGAAGGAAGCUAGAGGAGAAGGUGCAGAAGAGGCACAAGUGUUUGAACUCUGAAAAAUGAUUCUGGAGAAUUCUCAACAGCAUUUCAUUAAGUUUCAAAGUUAGCUUUUACAAUGUAAGGAUACUUCCUUUUAUAGAUGAAGGAGUGACCCAAAAAACGUGCUAAGGAAGCUAUUCUAAGUGUAAAAGAAGCUUGCUAAGGAAGCUACACAGUCUGGGAAACUUGGAAGGCAAGAUACAGCCCUGCCAUGUCAACAAUCCGUGUGCAGAAGAUGAUCCUGGAUUUCUGGCGCUGGCACCUGGGCGCCCUUUUUAGGGGGCACUAGAGCUCCACCUGCUUCCUGGUUUCUGGCGCCUGGGCGCCCUUUUAGGGGGCGCUGGAGCGCCACCUGCUUCCUUUUUGGUUUUCUUGAUUUGCAUCCUUGGUAGCCUUCCUUAUUUGUAUGUACAUGGUUUCUCCUCUUUAUUAAGAACCUACAAAACAAAGUAAAGGUUAUUUAGCAAAGAGAAAGA